CGAGGCCGAUUGCGCCCUCGCCUUUGCCGAGGCCCAGCGCUGGGUGGAGGCAGUGACAGAGAAGAAUUUUGAAGCAAAGGAUUUUCGAGCUUCUCUAGAAAAUGGCGUACUGUUGUGUGAUUUGGUUAAUAAGCUUAAACCUGGUGUCAUU
Molecule: long non-coding RNA, 151 nt
Organism: Suncus etruscus (white-toothed pygmy shrew)
Lineage: Eukaryota; Metazoa; Chordata; Mammalia; Eulipotyphla; Soricidae
Exons: 3
Source: RefSeq, a predicted model, not a curated record